RNAcentral lists this ribosomal RNA (490 nucleotides) under uncultured bacterium. RNAcentral's name for it is "partial 16S ribosomal RNA". It matches the Rfam family "Bacterial small subunit ribosomal RNA", at positions 30 to 507 of the family's 1533-position model. The record is from RNAcentral.
AUUGAACGCUGGCGGCAGGCCUAACACAUGCAAGUCGAACGGUAACAGGAAGACGCUUGCUUCUUUGCUGACGAGUGGCGGACGGGUGAGUAAUGUCUGGGAAACUGCCUGAUGGAGGGGGAUAACUACUGGAAACGGUAGCUAAUACCGCAUAACGUCGCAAGACCAAAGAGGGGGACCUUCGGGCCUCUUGCCCUCGGAUGUGCCCAGAUGGGAUUAGCUAGUAGGUGGGGUAACGGCUCACCUAGGCGACGAUCCCUAGCUGGUCUGAGAGGAUGACCAGCCACACUGGAACUGAGACACGGUCCAGACUCCUACGGGAGGCAGCAGUGGGGAAUAUUGCACAAUGGGCGCAAGCCUGAUGCAGCCAUGCCGCGUGUAUGAAGAAGGCCUUCGGGUUGUAAAGUACUUUCAGCGGGGAGGAAGGGAGUAAAGUUAAUACCUUUGCUCAUUGACGUUACCCGCAGAAGAAGCACCGGCUAACUCCGUG